CCUACGGGAGGCUGCAGUGGGGGAUAUUGCACAAUGGGGGAAACACUGAUGCAGCGACGCCGCGUGGGCGAAGAAGGAUUUGGGUAUGGAAAGCCCUAUCAGCAGGGGAGAAGAAAUGACGGUACCUGAGUAAGUAGCACCGGCUAAAUACGUGCCAGCAGCCGCGGUAAUACGGAGGAUGCGAGCGUUAUCUGGAUUUAUUGGGUUUAAAGGGUGCGUAGGCGGUAUUUUAAGUUAGUGGUAAAACGUCGGGGCUUCACCUUGAUUGGCCAUUAAAACUGGAGUACUAGAGUACAGACGAGGUAGGCGGAAUAAGUUAAGUAGCGGUGAAAUGCUUAGAUAUAACUUAGAACCCCGAUAGCGAAGGCAGCUUACCAGACUGUUACUGACGCUGAAGCACGAGAGCGUGGGUAGCGAACAGGAUUAGAUACCCCAGUAGUC
Molecule: ribosomal RNA, 441 nt
Filed under: uncultured bacterium
Lineage: Bacteria
Description: partial 16S ribosomal RNA
Rfam family: Bacterial small subunit ribosomal RNA
Source: RNAcentral